RNAcentral lists this ribosomal RNA (497 nucleotides) under Burkholderiales bacterium. RNAcentral describes it as "partial 23S ribosomal RNA". It matches the Rfam family "Bacterial large subunit ribosomal RNA", at positions 2433 to 2925 of the family's 2925-position model. The record is from RNAcentral. Lineage: Bacteria; Pseudomonadati; Pseudomonadota; Betaproteobacteria; Burkholderiales.
AUGGAAGGGCCAUCGCUCAACGGACAAAAGGUACGCUGGGGAUAACAGGCUGAUUCCGCCCAAGAGUCCAUAUCGACGGCGGAGUUUGGCACCUCGAUGUCGGCUCAUCACAUCCUGGGGCUGUAGCCGGUCCCAAGGGUAUGGCUGUUCGCCAUUUAAAGUGGUACGUGAGCUGGGUUCAGAACGUCGUGAGACAGUUUGGUCCCUAUCUGCCGUGGGCGCUGGAUAUUUGACGGGGCCUGCUCCUAGUACGAGAGGACCGGAGUGGACGUACCGCUGGUGUACCGGUUGUGAUGCCAAUCGCAUUGCCGGGUAGCUAUGUACGGAAGAGAUAACCGCUGAAAGCAUCUAAGCGGGAAACUCGCCUGAAGAUGAGAUAUCCCGGGGCUUUAAGUCCCCUAAAGAGCCGUUGAAGACCACAACGUUGAUAGGCUGGGUGUGGAAGCGUGGUAACACGUUAAGCUAACCAGUACUAAUCACUCGUGAGGCUUGACUCC